GAGGGUAUAGCUCAGUGGUAGAGUGCGUGCUUAGCAUGCAAGAGGUCCGGGGUUCCAUGCCCAGUACCUCCA
RNAcentral lists this transfer RNA (72 nucleotides) under Camelus bactrianus (Bactrian camel). It matches the Rfam family "tRNA". From Rfam's summary of the family: Transfer RNA (tRNA) molecules are approximately 80 nucleotides in length. Their secondary structure includes four short double-helical elements and three loops (D, anti-codon, and T loops). RNAcentral also lists the same sequence under 1 other name. The record is from Rfam by way of RNAcentral. Lineage: Eukaryota; Metazoa; Chordata; Mammalia; Artiodactyla; Camelidae.